This is a long non-coding RNA of Cyprinodon tularosa, 1555 nucleotides long. RefSeq lists it as uncharacterized. Lineage: Eukaryota; Metazoa; Chordata; Actinopteri; Cyprinodontiformes; Cyprinodontidae. The record is from RefSeq and is a predicted model, not a curated record. The transcript is spliced from 3 exons.
GCUGCCCUGCCAGUGACGAGCAGCUGAAGAUGUCUCCGCUCCCCCCCCCCCCCCUUGCUUGGAAGUCAUCCAACCCAGCGCUCCAAAAAGACAGGCUCGCCUCUGUUAACUCCCCGGGCAGAUUAAGGUCGUCCUGCCAUCUCUGUCCGACUCUCUGUUUCUGUCCAGAUGCACAACAAGUCGCUCAACCUUUCGGCCGCCCUUCCUGCUAACAUCUAAUGGGGUGAACGCUCUGAUCCAAGAGCGCCGGGAAAAAACUAAUUCUGCUGCUUUGUUUGAUUGUGGUCCUUGCAUAAUUUCUCAAAUCUAAAAGCGUCUUUAAAUUUAGAGCAGGCCUGUUUCGAUUUAAAUGCAAACAUAACCAAGAAUCCGGCUUUUUCCUCAGUGGAAAAGAAACACAUUUUCUCUCCUUCAAAUUGAGUUCCUCAAACUCUAAUUUAGAGCAACCCUUUGAUGAACUAAUGUUUUCAAACUAGCCUGCUAUAAUGAAAAGGGAGUGAGUGCAAUUUUAAACAAUCCGAAGCUCUGAACCUUCUGUGACUGUAUACUGUUAAGAUGAAACUUUAGCAUUUGUAUCAAUUACACUUUAAAACUCCUGACAGGACCUUAAAUAACAGCCAGCAGAGCUGGACGUAGAAAAUGUUUACCAGAUCAGUUUCAUUUCCACCUCAACCGUCUGUUGCUGGUGACAUCAAUUCUUCAUGUGAGGCAUUUAGAUGUUUUCCCCAAACGUGCCCUGCUGUCUCAGGCUCUCCCUCGAUGACUGGGGUCAAUGAGUGUGCAUGUUUGUCAGCUCUGAUCGUUAAUGAAACGCUCACACAAAUACAGCACGGGCAAAUAUUUAGAGGCCAGCCUGGAGAUUUCAUCACGACUGAAGCUGUGAUUCUUCGGGGAGCGCUGGAUUACUUUAUUUCCCAGGAAAGAAGCAUAUACUCAAGAUCAAACUUGUCCGUGCCUUGAUGAAUGUGGAGGAGCAGAAAGUCUCCUGCCUUUGACCGAUAACCAGUGUGAUUUUAAUUUAAAUCAUAUGAAUCAAUGUCUGGCCGGAGCAGAAAUAAAAUAUUUUUAAAUGAAAACAUCUGACUCUAAUUGCUUAAGAACAAUGUUCUGCAUAGUAGAUCUAGAAUAACCUUGUUUUGAUACUGAUUUGAUUUCUAUGUGUUUGUGUAAGUUUACCCAGACCCAGUCUGUGGAAACAUGAUGCUGCUCUGCCCUUAGCAGCCAGGACAGUUUCUCCUCAGGCCUCCUACAGCCCCUAUGGAAACCUUAUGACCAUCCUUCCUGGAGAGCAUUUGUGAGUGUGGAAACACAGGAAGGAGCAAUCAGCUACAGGCCAAAAAUGUCCUAAAUAGGCCCCUGGAGGUCAGACUGUUGGACAGGAGAGAGGCCCGCCAGGUGCUGAUUGGAAGAGGAUGAAGCCUUUGAAUGCAAACAUCACUGUGAUUUUGGUGUAAAUGUACUUUUCUAAUAAAUGCAAAUCUACAGCAUCCUGUUAUUCUGUAAAAGGACCGAAAACAAACUGCUGCUACUUCUGCUUAAAAAAAAAGAAAAUAAA